CCUACGGGAGGCAGCAGUGGGGAAUAUUGCGCAAUGGACGCAAGUCUGACCCAGCAACGCCGCGUGAAGGAAGAAGGCUUUCGGGUUGUAAACUUCUUUUAAGGGGGAAGAGCAGAAGACGGUACCCCUUGAAUAAGCUACGGCUAACUACGUGCCAGCAGCCGCGGUAAUACGUAGGGGGCAGGCGUUGUCCGGAUUUACUGGGUGGAAAGGGCGUGCAGCCGGAGAGUCAAGUCAGAUGUGAAAUCCACGGGCUCAACGCGUGAACUGCCUUUGAAACUGGUUCCCUUGAGUGUCGGAGAGGUAAGCGGAAUUCCUGGUGUAGCGGUGAAAUGCGUAGAUAUAAGGAAGAACAUCAGUGGCGAAGGCGGAUAACUGGACGAUAACUGACGGUGAGGCGCGAAAGCGUGGGGAGCAAACAGGAUUAGAUACCCGAGUAGUC
Molecule: ribosomal RNA, 442 nt
Filed under: uncultured bacterium
Lineage: Bacteria
Description: partial 16S ribosomal RNA
Rfam family: Bacterial small subunit ribosomal RNA
Source: RNAcentral